Heterocephalus glaber (naked mole-rat) is the source of this 656-nucleotide non-coding RNA. NCBI's taxonomy places the organism in Eukaryota, Metazoa, Chordata, Mammalia, Rodentia, Bathyergidae. The record is from RefSeq and is a predicted model, not a curated record.
UGCAUACACAGCCCUUUAAUUUUUUUUUUUUUGAGACAAGGUUUGGCUAAGCCACUAAGUUUCCCAGGCUGAGUUCAGACUUGCGAUUAUUAUCCUGUCUCAGCCUCCCACAGUGCUGAGAUUACAGGCCUACACCACCACAUUUGGCUCUUAUUUUUGACAAAUAAUUAUUGUUGAUGUUAAAUUUGAUCGUUUGGUAAGCUAUUCCCUCUCAUAUUUCCCUGUAUCUUGUUUUUUUUAUCAGUCUUGCAGUGGUUAUAGCAUCUGUUGAUAAUUACAGCUUGAAUCCGUUCUUACUUGGAAGAAGAGUAUUUGGAAACCAAGAUCUAGGACCCGUGAAGACAUUUCCAUCAUCUCAAAGUGUUCUCUUGUGUCACAUUCCGGUCUGUCCCUCGCUGCAGCCCCAGGCUCUCACUCCUCUCCUGUCACCGUGGAUUGAGCGAAACUCAUGUCUAGACUUCUCUGUCACCUGAGUCAUGUUGGGUGUACUCUUUUGUGUUAGGCUUCUUCUCUUCAGCAUGUUUCGAUAUUCACCUGUAUUGUAUUUAUCAGGAGUCCAUCCCUUUUUAUUUCUGCACAUAUGCUACUGUCUCGAAGUGCAUUAAGUGGACAUUUGGUUGUUCCCAGCUGUUACAAAUAAAGUUGCCGUGAACAUU